This 154-nucleotide unclassified non-coding RNA is filed under the name uncultured Tubeufiaceae. Its description in RNAcentral is "sequence contains ITS2". The record is from RNAcentral. Lineage: Eukaryota; Fungi; Ascomycota; Dothideomycetes; Tubeufiales; Tubeufiaceae.
CAAACCCUCAAGCUUCUGCUUGGUAUUGGGCUCUCGUCUGUCAAAAGACGUACCCGAAACUCGUAGGCAGUGGCGCCCAGCUCCUUUGCGUAGUUAAACAUUCCGCUCUGGAUCGUUGGGUACUGCUCGCCCAGUAACUAUUUUACUAUCUAUG